UGGGGAAUAUUGGACAAUGGGCGCAAGCCUGAUCCAGCCAUGCCGCGUGAGUGAAGAAGGCCUUAGGGUUGUAAAACUCUUUCGCCGGGGAAGAUAAUGACGGUACCCGGAGAAGAAGCUCCGGCUAACUUCGUGCCAGCAGCCGCGGUAAUACGAAGGGAGCUAGCGUUGUUCGGAAUUACUGGGCGUAAAGCGCACGUAGGCGGACUUGUCAGUCAGGGGUGAAAUCCCAAGGCUCAACCUUGGAACUGCCUCCGAUACAGCAAGUCUUGAGUUCGAGAGAGGUGGGUGGAAUUCCUAGUGUAGAGGUGAAAUUCGUAGAUAUUAGGAAGAACACCGGUGGCGAAGGCGGCCCACUGGCUCGAUACUGACGCUGAGGUGCGAAAGCGUGGGGAGCAAACAGGAUUAGAUACCCGUGUAGUCCCUGAGCGGGCUGGCAAGGCGCAU
This 447-nucleotide ribosomal RNA is filed under the name uncultured bacterium. Its description in RNAcentral is "bacterial SSU rRNA". It matches the Rfam family "Bacterial small subunit ribosomal RNA", at positions 355 to 825 of the family's 1533-position model. The record is from RNAcentral.